This 138-nucleotide transfer RNA is filed under the name seawater metagenome. It matches the Rfam family "tRNA". Rfam says of the family: Transfer RNA (tRNA) molecules are approximately 80 nucleotides in length. Their secondary structure includes four short double-helical elements and three loops (D, anti-codon, and T loops). The record is from RNAcentral.
ACCUCGUUAGCUCAAUUGGUAGAGCAGCAGACAAUACAAAAAACUUAAAAUGUUAUCAGUUUUUGGAUAACGAUCAGCUAUUAUUAAAAAAAGUAAUAAUCAUCUGAUGGUUGCGUGGUUCAAAUCCCGCACGAGGUU